This 300-nucleotide ribosomal RNA is filed under the name uncultured Sulfophobococcus sp. Its description in RNAcentral is "bacterial SSU rRNA". It matches the Rfam family "Bacterial small subunit ribosomal RNA", at positions 496 to 795 of the family's 1533-position model. The record is from RNAcentral. Lineage: Archaea; Thermoproteati; Thermoproteota; Thermoprotei; Desulfurococcales; Desulfurococcaceae.
GAUAACUCGGGGGCAGCAGCGGCGGGAAUACAGAGGGUGCAAGGGUUAAUCGGAAUUACUGGGCGGAAAGCGAGCGUAGGGGGCUUGAUAAGUCAGAGGUGAAAUCCCCGGGCUUAACCUGGGAACUGCAUCUGAGACUGGUAAGCUAGAGUAGGUGAGAGGGAAGUAGAAUUCCAGGUGUAGCGGUGAAAUGCGUAGAGAUCUGGAGGAAUACCGAUGGCGAAGGCAGCUUCCUGGCAUCAUACUGACACUGAGGCUCGAAAGCGUGGGUAGCAAACAGGAUUAGAUACCCUUGUAGUC